UUCGACUUAGUUAAACCGAUAAUACUAAUUUUGGAGAUUAGAGUUCCAUAUUCGAAA
This 57-nucleotide transfer RNA is filed under the name Tigriopus kingsejongensis. RNAcentral describes it as "tRNA-Pro". The record is from RNAcentral. Lineage: Eukaryota; Metazoa; Arthropoda; Copepoda; Harpacticoida; Harpacticidae.